Molecule: long non-coding RNA, 2051 nt
Organism: Tribolium castaneum (red flour beetle)
Lineage: Eukaryota; Metazoa; Arthropoda; Insecta; Coleoptera; Tenebrionidae
Exons: 2
Source: RefSeq, a predicted model, not a curated record
UUAUUGGGGUUUUAAGAAUUUAAAAUUUUUAUGGCAAGGCUAGUUAUAUUUUAUAAUGGGUUUCAGGCUCAACAAAAUUCUAACGUCGGAUGCUUUAUUCCAAUGUCGCGAUGCUGCAACGUUGGUUUUAUGGACCUUUCUUUGAAACAACAAAAAUGCUAAUGUGCAUUUCUACUCUGCUGUAUUACUAUUGGUACAAAAUAGAGGUAAUUAAAAAUAAUAAGCUUGUAUUCGAACAUAAAGCCACACCAAACAAUUCUUCUUUGAAAAGAUGAGCUCUCGGUUGAUGCGUCUCCCCUUAGAUAAGACCUGACAUGGGACAAAUUUCGUGAUUUUUAGUUUAGUGCAUCUUUUGUCAAAAGCGUUUCAGGGUUUACUCUGAAAGGUUUGGUUUAUAAAUUGUUCCAGGUGGGGUGGCGAUAAAGAACAUUGAUUUUUAUUGCAAAAAGUUGAAAAUAUUGUGACAGGUGAAAUGGAUUGAUAAACUGGAGCAACACUAAAUAUCCAUUUCUAUUCCGUCCAAAAGUAAAGUAAAAAGCGUUGAACGUUUCAACUGUUGUGCGAUAUGAACUAAAUACGAGUAGAAGUUUAAAUUGGAAUAAAUAAAUGAGGAGAGCUGGAAACCGGUAAACAAUAUUCCCACAUAACUGAUUAAAAUGAAUUAGAUUUUAAUAACUUUCCUCGAAACAAGAUGGAAAAUUAGUUGAGCGUAAUCCUGGAUAAGAUUUCACGGAAACGCUCAAAUUUGCAUAUUUCCCUCUUCAAGUUUGUCAACAACACUUGUCUUUCCGUGAUUAACUCGUAUUCUAGUCGCUUCAUUUUUUGCUAAUUGUAGGGCCUGAUUACUGCAGGAUUAGAUAAGUGGCGGCGAUUUGUCGUAGGUAAAGCUGGAAAUCCCCGAUUCCAACCCUAUCUCUUUACGUCUUUAAUGGAAUACGUAAGGACAAAUUAAAAUGUAGGAAGGUGAAGAUACCGUCUAGAUGUCUCCAGUAUUUGCAGUCGGGCAUUCUGCAUCCUAUUAUCUAUGCAAUGCUGAAUAAAACAUCUACCGAGAGGACGGUUUUCUGUUUUUAUUUCAAUAAAUUGUGUGGUCUGGAAUAUAAACUAUCCUUCUCCAAUUAUGAGCCGGUAUCGGGUCUCCUAGGUCAGGCUUUGUGCCCCGGCUUAAUAUUUUUUCCGCCAAUAUGUUCUUUGUCUUUGCGUCUCGUAAAUUUUCGCUUCGGUUUAUUCGGUACGAGGGCCGCAAAAAGUUCUUAUUAAUAUUUCACGUUCGAAAAGAAGUUUGAAAAAUUGGCGAAAUGUUGGUAUAUAGCGGAUCGAGCCGAUCGUAACAAAUAUUCUUGCAGACAUGAUGGACUGUGGGAGAAGCGAUAGCGAGGCCACCUGACGCUCAACGUGGAGGAAGCCUUUACAAGAAAACUUACGCUCCGAUUCGUCUCUCCAAUCCGAUUGCCAACUAACGAUCUCGAUAGCUGCCUGAUUCCAAACCCGCUAAACUAGCUACCUACAUCUUCCUCGAAAAUCUAAUGGUAUCGAGCCAGUUUAGAAAUAAACCAAACGCAGUGGGUUUGUUCAAAAAGGCGAAUUUUUAUGGCGUAUGGAUAUUGCGGUUGGAUUGGGAUAAAGUGGCGGUAUCGCUUAAGUGUCGUGGGUGUUACGGAGCGUCAAUAAGUGCGUUAAAGAAAGAAACGUAAACGGCAAAGAAGAUGAGGAACAGAUUAAACGAUUCUACGUGAGAAUUUUGGAGAUCGCUGAAUAUUGAGAAGGUAUAUGAGCGGAAUCCAAGAUUAGGUUAAAAAAGAAGUGAUCUUAUUUUGGAAACAGAUUAUUAUAAUAUGUAAAGAAGGUGGAUGAAUGCCGCGCACGAACUGUCUCUGUAUAUGUACUCGUCGUUUUUUAUCGUCUCUUCUUUAUCCCAUUAUUUGGUGGAACGGCAACAUGUCCAUUCGCAUGUAAAAUCCUUGUAUUAAAUCCAACAAGAUCGUCAUGUAAAUUUUAAUUUCGCCGCUGUGUAAAAUCCUGAAAAUAAAUUAACGCAGUAAUUAAAGCAG